UACGAAGGGUGCAAGCGUUACUCGGAAUUACUGGGCGUAAAGCGUGCGUAGGCGGCUUGUUAAGUCCGUUGUGAAAGCCCUGGGCUCAACCUGGGAAUUGCAGUGGAUACUGGCGAGCUAGAGUGCGGUAGAGGAUGGUGGAAUUCCCGGUGUAGCGGUGAAAUGCGUAGAGAUCGGGAGGAACACCCGUGGCGAAGGCGGCCAUCUGGACCAGCACUGACGCUGAGGCACGAAAGCGGGGGGAGCAAACAGG
This 253-nucleotide ribosomal RNA is filed under the name uncultured bacterium. Its description in RNAcentral is "partial 16S ribosomal RNA". It matches the Rfam family "Bacterial small subunit ribosomal RNA", at positions 524 to 776 of the family's 1533-position model. The record is from RNAcentral.